RNAcentral lists this long non-coding RNA (2654 nucleotides) under Homo sapiens (human). Its description in RNAcentral is "HSALNT0373631". Lineage: Eukaryota; Metazoa; Chordata; Mammalia; Primates; Hominidae. The record is from RNAcentral.
GUAACACUCACCGCGAGGCUCCGCGGCUUCAUUCUUGAAUUCAUUUUCAGUGAACCUUCAGAGAAUGAUGGGCAGGUUUUCCCUUGGCCCCCACAGUUUUGGCACUGUGAGCAGGAUACCAAAACCACUCUGUUCUUCUGGAAGCCACAGCCCAGGGAACCUAGGAUCUGAGAAGUUCACAAAAGGACACACUUCCUGCCACUGCUGAGAACUGACUGGUGAGUGGAUGAGGCAAACAUCUUCCCAGGUCAUGAGGGGAAAGGCUGCUGAGACUUAGCUUGUGUUGAAGUCUGAAUGGAAGCCAUUUAUGGAUAUGCAAAGAGGAAUGGAUAAUUGAUGAAGCAUGGUAACAAAGAUUAUUUUCAUCUGAGUACAAAGAUAAAGGUUGCCAUAGCCAUUGGAGAUCACACCAUGACUUGCUUCCCGACCACCUGGAUUUUAUGUGAAGUCACAUGUUCUUAGAAAAACAGACUUUUAAGACACUCUUCUGCGAUCUGACAUUUUCAAGUCUGUUGGGCUCAACAUGCAAGAACGAGAUCAGCCUACAGUACAGACUGGGAUGUACCCUCAGAUCCCUGAGCUGGAAGGAGAAGGGGCAAGAGAGGAUUGGGGUCCAGAGCCAAAGAGGACUGAGGGAGACAAAGGCAGCUGAGACAAAAUGACCCAUUAUCAGAAGCCCUACGUAAAGCCAAGAAACAAGCCAGACUAAAUCCCCAGCAACUGCAUUGAAGCCAGCAGAAGAAGUGCAAUCAGGUGGCUUGGCAGGAGCAGCAUCCACUUUUUCUUGGGCAUUCUUUUCACAGUGUAGUUAAAUGUACAGCAGCAUAUCCUAGUCCAAUUGUAUUACUUAUUUAUUUUCUAUCUGCCAUACUCUAGAAUAUAAAUAUAGUAAUGAAGGAAUUUUUUAGUUUAACUGCCUUAAAUCUUCAGCAAACAGAACCCUACUGAGCACUUAGUGCAUACUCCAAAAAUAUUUUCGAAAGAAAACUUAACAAAUACAUACUGAAUAGAUAAAUGCGUAACAAUUGCAGGAAUAAAGGGAGUAAUGUUCUGCUAAAAGUGUUAUCUCUGAUUAUUGCAUUUCAUUAGUUUAUUAGUGAGAUGGACCAUGAGAAAACAGAAGAGGAAAGCCCAAAAGGGCAGAGGUGUGGGCAGAGAAGUGUGUAAAAGUUGAAGCCAAACAUGCAAUUAUUCUUUUCAUUGAAUUUCAUUAUGUUUAACUAUGUGGUUUACGUAAAGCCAAAAUUAUUACUUGAGUAAUUUUUUUUCUAAUUUUUAAAGUUGUCUAUAUGUCCCUGACCAUGGUAUUUACCUGACAGAAAAUUUUACUCCAAUUUUACUGGGAGUUUUAUGACCACUUAAGACCUUGACCUUUCACCAUCCCUCCAAAAUGGGAAUUAGAGUCAGCAUUGACUUUGCUUGUUAUCAUUGAAAAAACUAUGCUCCAGAUAAAACUUUGCUUUCAGUGGCUAAUGCAAGUUUCUUAUUCAUGUGUUCAUUAUGAGUGAACUUGACCAUUGCAAUAGUUUCCAUAAUCGCUUCCCUACCGUUAGAACAAUUUUUGAUGAUAUCACCCUCAUGCUUCACUUGCUUAAUUAGACCUUAGUGCAUCAAUGAGUCUUUUUAACUUUCUUCUGCAGAGGCUCUUCUUGCCCAGGGCUAACCUCUGUCUCUAAGUUUUAUGCUGUUCUUUUUAGCCAAGGCUUUUUAUAUUUGAGUACAGUUGCUUUCUAGACAAUGUAAGAUUUAUUGAUAACAAAAUGUAUCUUUACCCAUUUAUUUAAUACUGUCUGAGUGGGGAAGGGAUUUGAUGUUUAUUGAAUAACUACUAUGUAUAAGGUUGUGUGUCAUGCAUGUCACAUUCAUGGUUUUACUUAAAAUUAAGAUAUUAUUUUUCUUAUAGUAAACUAAUAGAUAAUUGUUCACUGUAAAAAUUUCAGGGAUGCAAAAAUUUACAAUACAGAAAACAAAGUUAACUAAACUUCUAUCCCAGCCCAGAUUUAGCCAUUUUUAAUAUUUUGAGGUAUGAUGAGGUAGAAAAAUAUAGUUUUUCUAUAGGUAUAUUUAACACAUAUAUACAGUUGUGUUCUUAUCAUCUCAUUUAAAGAUGUCUACCAUAUUUUGAGGAUUUUCACAUUUUAUUAAAAUAUUUUUGAAACAUCCUAUGUAAUGACAAAUUCUAUUGCAAAAUAUUUGUGCUCUUUCUAAUGGGCAAUUGAAAUUGCAACUGAUGGAUUCAAAAGCAUGAGUUCAAACAGAGAACAAAAAAUUGGGGGGAUACAAUCUAACAUGGGCAAUAUUCUCAGGGUAUGGUGCUCAUAUGUUAUGUUUAGUUUACUUUAAAAGUGAUUUUAAAAGUAUGAUUUCUUAUGCUGUAUGAGAAUUUUGCAAUGGUCUGGCUCUGUGUCCCCACCCAAAUCUCAUCUUGAAUUGUAAUCCAAAUUGUAACCCCCAUGUGUUGACGGGGGGACCAUGUGGGAGGUGAUUGGAUCAUGGGGGCAGUCCCCUCAUGCUGUUCUCGUGAUAGUGAGUGAGUUCUCAUGAGAUCUGGAGGUUUUACAAGGGGCUUUCCCCACUUCACUCUGCAUCUUUUUUUCUUGCCACCAUGUGAAGAAGAAUGUGUUUGUUUCCCCUUUUGCCAGGACUGUAAGUUU